RNAcentral lists this ribosomal RNA (252 nucleotides) under uncultured bacterium. RNAcentral's name for it is "partial 16S ribosomal RNA". It matches the Rfam family "Bacterial small subunit ribosomal RNA", at positions 524 to 776 of the family's 1533-position model. The record is from RNAcentral.
UACGGAGGAUGCGAGCGUUAUCCGGAUUUAUUGGGUUUAAAGGGUGCGUAGGCGGGCUUUUAAGUCAGCGGUAAAAGUUCGGGGCUCAACCCCGUCCGGCCGUUGAAACUGGGGGCCUUGAGUGGGCGAGAAGAAGGCGGAAUGCGUGGUGUAGCGGUGAAAUGCAUAGAUAUCACGCAGAACCCCGAUUGCGAAGGCAGCCUUCCGGCGCCCUACUGACGCUGAGGCACGAAAGUACGGGGAUCGAACAGG